RNAcentral lists this long non-coding RNA (1711 nucleotides) under Mus musculus (house mouse). Its description in RNAcentral is "predicted gene 2885 (Gm2885)". Lineage: Eukaryota; Metazoa; Chordata; Mammalia; Rodentia; Muridae. The record is from RNAcentral.
ACCUGCGCGCGCAACCACGCCCGGCAAAGGAGCGGAACGGCCGGUGUCCUCCCGCCAGCUUUUAUACUGCGCUAUUUUAGUCGCGCGCUCUGAUUGGCCAUCCAUGGUGACGACACGCCUGGACGCCGAAAGGUGGAGGAGAGACUGGGCGGAUGUGAGCUUCCGGCUGCCGGGGUUUCUCUAUGGAGUCCUGACUGUUCUGGAGUUUGCUAUGUAGUCCAGGCUGGCCAAAAAUUCACAAAGAUCUGCUUCGGCCUUUCGUGUGCUGGGAUUACUGGCAUGUGCUCCCACACUCAGACGCUUUUUUGUUGAAGAAUACAACUCAACCCAUAAAGAAGGAUGACUUUGGACCUGGAGUCACAGAGGGAAGAGAACAUGAAGAAACAGGGAGAAGACAGCCAUCUCCAAGAAAGUGAGCUUGACUGGAGCAACCCUGGCACAGGCCUUGGCAUCAACUCAUUCACUCCAGAAACCACUUGGAAGACUUAGACAGGAGGCUUGCUUGCUUGAGUUCUUGAGUUGGAGGUUGGUGUAGAUAAAACAGUAAGAUUCAAUCUCAAAAACAAAUAAGUUAAAUAAACAGAAAGAGACGAGAAGGAAGAAGGAAAGGAGAAAACAGAAAGAAAGAAGGGAAAGGAAGCCAAGGAUGUUUCGUGGCCCAGUUGAUAGAGUGGAGCUCAAAUGGAAAACCCAACUUUCUCAAAGCUGAAAGCAACUGUGUUAUGCAGACAAUACAAAAAUUGUGAUUUUCACUUUAGUUUGUUUCAGACUUUGGUGUUAUGAACAAUAUAAGGCUUGAUGACUUAAAAAAAUGUAUUGAAACAGUUUUUAUAAGAGGUAUCCAGGUCCACUUGAAAUAUCUCCAUGGAGCUGGGGAAAUAACUCCCAGGUCCAUUGUUCGCCUAAGAUGGAAGAGGUCCUAUGUUCAAUCCUUGACACCAAAGUUUGAAUACGACACUGCGACAUUAUGAACUUUACAAGUGUGGGAACCUACUAAAAGUUAUACUCAACCCUGGAUGCCAUCCAAAGCACAACUGAAGACUCAGGUAUUUCUUAAUCUACAAACGAAAUGCUCCCUCCCCAGGGCCUCUGCGCUUAUCAUCCCAUCGAUGAAAUUAUGGGAUGACUUUUGCUCAAAUUAUUCAAGCUUCUGAACUUAGAAUCGGACAUUUUUACAAUGCUCUGUUAUGACUGUAUAGAUUCUGUAGUUCACUAGACCAGAUAACAGCGUGCCCUGUAAUGAGGCUCUCCCUUAUCUUGAAAAAAUGCAAACACAACAAAUAGGCACGGAGUUAGAACAUGGACAUUUUAUCUUUUGUUUUUAUUGAGGUCUCCAUGUAUAGACCACCCCGUUCUCUGCUCCCGUGCUCAAGAGAUCCUCCUGCUUCAGACACCAAACAGCUGGCGCUCUAGGAGGCUGGAAGCUGAGGGCCGGCCGCCAUCAGCAUGUGAGGGACCUGCUGGCGCUGGCUUUCCUCCCAAACUGCUUGCCUAAGCUUUGUCCCUUUCUCCUUAUCUGGCUGCAUCUCUCUCACAACAGAAGGGGACUUGGAGUGCACUCUUUAUUGCCCUCAGGAAUGUCAGCUCUUUAUUCUUUGACCUCAUCAUACUUUGGACCUCUCUCAGGUUGUUUAUGUACAUCUGAUUCCCAGCCCUUUCACUGGAUGGAAGAUUUAAAUUCAGUAAUAAACUUCCCACAUCUCCAGAUGUA